Acinonyx jubatus (cheetah) is the source of this 378-nucleotide long non-coding RNA. RefSeq lists it as uncharacterized. The record is from RefSeq and is a predicted model, not a curated record. NCBI's taxonomy places the organism in Eukaryota, Metazoa, Chordata, Mammalia, Carnivora, Felidae. The transcript has 3 exons.
UUCACUCAUUUUUGUCAUUUUUUCUGCCCCCUUGUUAGUGUCCACCACUUAGGAGGACAUUUGAGUGCCAUUCUUCAUCACUGCUACUGCUGUUGAUGGUUUCUGUGAGACUCCUGAUGACAUUGCCAAGGCUGCUGUUUCCUGGGACAGGUGGUUGAGGCACUGUGACAGCUGCAUUCACUGGCAUUCUAUUGAGUUCCUGGAAAAGCAUAGGAUCUAAGGAAGCAACACAUUUGGCACUGUUAUAGGAAUGGAAGACCAUUGUGGCUAUGACGAAUGAGCAAGAGGGAGAAGAGUAAGGAAUGAAGUUGAAGAGAACGAACCGAUGCAAUUAAACUAUCAAGUAUACAGACCACAUUUACAGGGAGCUGGAUGUUC